RNAcentral lists this ribosomal RNA (549 nucleotides) under Reishia bronni. Its description in RNAcentral is "partial 12S ribosomal RNA". Lineage: Eukaryota; Metazoa; Mollusca; Gastropoda; Neogastropoda; Muricidae. The record is from RNAcentral.
AAACCAAGAAGAUUAAGUCAUGCAUUUUUGGUGAAAAGACAGUUAAGCAGCAUAAAAAGUUUGUUUAAUUAUUAUUGAGAAGUAAAAUUCGCAAAUAAUCUAGAGAUUUAAUCAAAACUAAAAAGCUGAAGCUGUGACAUCCUCGAGGGAAACUGGGAUUAGAUACCCCAUUAUUCUUGGAUAUAAAAAAAUAUGAAUUUACCAGAGUACUAUGGAUUGAUGACAUUUAAAACUCAAAGAGCUUGGCGGUGUUUUAGACUCUUUAGGGGAACCUGUCUCAUAAUCGACAAUCCACGUAAGACCUGACCUUUAUUUGCUUUCAGUUUGUAUACCGUCGUCGUCAGGUAACUUUUUAGAAGAAAGAAGUUAGCGAUUGAGCUUUCAAUAAGCUCUUACGUCAGAUCAAGGUGCAGCCAACAUAAAGGGGAGGAUGGGUUACAAUUAUAAGAAUUAUAAUUACGGAAUGACCGCUUUGAAUAGCAGUCAUGAAGGAGGACUUAAAAGUAAAAUAAAAUAUAUAAAUAUAUUGAAUUGAGCUCUGAAACGUGC